Molecule: long non-coding RNA, 723 nt
Organism: Cygnus olor (mute swan)
Lineage: Eukaryota; Metazoa; Chordata; Aves; Anseriformes; Anatidae
Exons: 2
Source: RefSeq, a predicted model, not a curated record
GAAAGACUGGCAAAACAAAACAAAAACCAGUUAGACUCAUGCUACUUCAGGGAUCUUCAAAGGAGGUGGAAGCAGUAGGGAUGAUAAAAAACAACAACAACAACAAGUACUUGUCAACAGUUACGACAUCUUGUCCAGAGGCACUCCGGCUGGAUUUACACCAACACUGCUACCUUUGGCUUCUGGCUUACCUGGUCUUCACAAAGCUGUGCGGAAGCCCUCCAUCUCACACAUUAUGCCAGCAGUUUCCACAAUUUCCAGCAAUAUUGACAGCGAUUCAGAAGAGAUCCAAGCUCGCAGCACUGCAGGUGAAUGUGAGUGCUGGCCUGGCCUGACUGCCCUCCUCACAGCUCCCUCCUCACAGCGACUGGCAAUGAGCUGCUCUUCCUCGGGUACAUGCUGGUGGCACCCAGUGGGACUUCGCAGGGGUCUGUAGGGGUCACGCUGCCAGCAGGAAUGGAGGGGAGGGAGAGACAAAAAGCUAGGAGAGACCCUGAAGAGCUGGACAUGCAUCAGCUAAUUCGGGUUGGGGGUUGUGUGGUGGCUGGUGGUGCUUGUGGGAGUGCAUUAACCCCUCUCAGAAGGAGUAGCAGCCAGCUUUGCUUGCUAACUUUGGCGAAGGAGAAGGAAAGGACAACUUCUAGUUCUGCACUGGCCUCCAGCUGGCUCUGUGGUAAUCAGCCCUCAACCACUCGACAAUAAAAUGCCAUCUUGCUGUCCCCA